RNAcentral lists this long non-coding RNA (995 nucleotides) under Callithrix jacchus (white-tufted-ear marmoset). RNAcentral describes it as "lncRNA (ENSCJAG00000061778.2)". Lineage: Eukaryota; Metazoa; Chordata; Mammalia; Primates; Cebidae. The record is from RNAcentral.
CUAUGGUACUGAUAGUUUUCCUCUGCUCAUAGAACUUAUAUACCUUCUUUGAUAUCAUUACUCCAAUUUUCAUUUACAGAAUUGCAGUUUUUUCAUGACCUGACAUGUCUUCAUUCCCGAUGUAUGGAAGUUGCAGUGGCAUGCCCUUCUCCGGCCACAGGAAUUAGCAAUCUUGAGGCUAGAGGCAUGAUCUUCAAAAAGCUGAGAUAAUAGCAGGAAUAACUUCUUUUGAUCCAGGAAGUACAUGUGCAAGAUUGCUGUGUGGGUAUAUUGCAUGAUGCUAAGGUUUGGCUUACUAAUGAUCCUGUCACCCAAGUAGUGAACAUAGUACCCAAUAGGUACUUUUCUAACCCUUUCCUCCCUGUGUCCCUCCUUCAAUUUGGGAUCCCCAGUGUUUGUUGUUCCCAUCUUGUGUCCAUGUGUAUUCAAUGUUUAGCUCCCACCUGUAAGUAAGAACAUGUGGUAUUUGGUGUUUAUGCAUUAAUUUACUUAAGAUAAUGGUCCAGCUGCAUUCAUGUUGCUGAGAAGGACAUGAUUUUGUUAUUUUGUAUGGCUAUGUAGAUUCCAUGAUGUAUAUAUACAUUCUCUUUCUCCAAUCCAAUGUUGAUGUACACCUGGGUUGAUUCCACGUGUUUUACUAUUGUUAAUAGUGCUGUGCUAAACAUAAAAAUGCAGGUGUCUCUAUGGGAGAAUGAUUUAUUUCCUUUUGGGUAAUAAAUUCCCAGUAAUGAGAUUGCAAGGUGAAAUGGUAGUUCUGUUUUUUGUUCUUUGAGAAAUCUUCAAACUCCUUUCCACAGUGGCCGAACACAUUUAAAUUCCUACCAAAAAUGUAUAGGUGUUCCCUUUUCUCUGCAACCUCUUCAACAUCUGUUAUUUUUUAAAUUUUUUAUAGCCAAUCUGACUUGUAUGAGAUGGUAUUUAAUCGUGGUUUUGAUUUGCAUCUCUCUGAAUAUUAGUGAUGUUUGUUAGCUGUUUAUAGGUCUUUUAAGAAGUGU